Molecule: ribosomal RNA, 53 nt
Filed under: Aspergillus fumigatus
Lineage: Eukaryota; Fungi; Ascomycota; Eurotiomycetes; Eurotiales; Aspergillaceae
Description: partial 28S ribosomal RNA
Source: RNAcentral
CCUCGGAUCAGGUAGGGAUACCCGCUGAACUUAAGCAUAUCAAAAGAGGGCGG